This 253-nucleotide ribosomal RNA is filed under the name uncultured bacterium. RNAcentral's name for it is "partial 16S ribosomal RNA". It matches the Rfam family "Bacterial small subunit ribosomal RNA", at positions 524 to 776 of the family's 1533-position model. The record is from RNAcentral.
UACGUAGGGGGCAAGCGUUGUCCGGAAUCAUUGGGCGUAAAGCGCGUGUAGGCGGCUCGAUAAGUCUGCUGUGAAAGUCCAGGGCUCAACCCUGGGAUGCCGGUGGAUACUGUCGAGCUCGAGUCCGGAAGAGGCGAGUGGAAUUCCUGGUGUAGCGGUGAAAUGCGCAGAUAUCAGGAGGAACACCAAUGGCGAAGGCAGCUCGCUGGGACGUAACUGACGCUGAGACGCGAAAGCGUGGGGAGCAAACAGG